RNAcentral lists this ribosomal RNA (497 nucleotides) under uncultured bacterium. RNAcentral's name for it is "partial 16S ribosomal RNA". It matches the Rfam family "Bacterial small subunit ribosomal RNA", at positions 28 to 507 of the family's 1533-position model. The record is from RNAcentral.
GACGAACGCUGGCGGCGUGCCUAAUACAUGCAAGUAGAGCGCUGAAGAUUGGUCUUUGCACCCUGGUUAAGUUCCGCGAACGUGUGAAUAACGCGUGGAACAUCUCUCUUUGCGCGGGGGACAACUUGUAGAAACUAGUUCUUAUACCACAUUACAACUUUACACAUAAGAUUUAAGUUUAAAAUAUAAUAUUGUCUCUCUCAGAUGUACUCCCGCGUUGUAUUAGCUAGUUGGUGAGGUAAGGGCUCACCAAGGCGAUGAUACAUAGCCGACCUGAGAGGGUGAUCGGCCACACUGGGACUGAGACACGGCCCAGACUCCUACGGGAGGCAGCAGUAGGGAAUCUUCGGCAAUGGACGGAAGUCUGACCGAGCAACGCCGCGUGAGUGAAGAAGGUUUUCGGAUCGUAAAGCUCUGUUGGAAGAGAAGAACGUGGGUGAGAGUGGAAAGCUCAUACAGUGACGGUAACUAACCAGAAAGGGACGGCUAACUACGUG